Long non-coding RNA from Rana temporaria (common frog), 943 nucleotides. RefSeq lists it as uncharacterized. The record is from RefSeq and is a predicted model, not a curated record. Lineage: Eukaryota; Metazoa; Chordata; Amphibia; Anura; Ranidae. The transcript has 3 exons.
CCGGAUAUGAUGCCAGGGGUCAUGUUUGACUCUUAUCAUUUCCGGUGGAGAUGUCGUUCUUAAGGCCAGCGCUGACACAAUGUAUGUCAGACGCUGACUUGGACGGCGUGAGGGAAGAUAUCACAGUACACGUGGAAGUUUGCUUCAGUCAGCUCUCUGGUGUUACAACACAAAUAAGGUAAUUACUUUCUAGUUCAUCUCUUUAGGUUUUAAUCCUCUAUGUAGGCUUUCCUGGUCAUGGGCAUGAACUUAAUCUACUCAUUACUCUGUCUAUUUUUAGAAUCGGAACCUAAAUAGAUAUAACGGCCCUUGGACCAUUCUGACAGUAUUGCCUUUAAGUAUAAUGCCACUGGGAUAGCAUAUCCCCCUAGGACAUCAGCUUAUAGCACUAUAUACUCCAUGUUAUUAACCAUCUAAGGUAAACUCUCUUCCUUUUCAAUUACAUUCUUUUCUAAUAGACGGGCACUACGCUGCAAUGCAACAGUUACUUAUUAUUUUUUAAAAAAUAAAUUGAAUUCAUUUAUAUACUUAUAUGCAUACAUAUUUUGUAUUUUACUUACUUAUAGAAUAUAUUAUGAAUUCAGUAUGAACUACACUGGACUCUAUUGACAGCUUUAACCCUAUAUCUAAACUUCACUACUACUGAGGAGAGAAUUAGAUACAACGUACAAAUACCUGUAUCUCUUCCUCCUCAAUUGUGGUGACCCCCUCUAUACAUCUCAUUGUCCGCACCUGUUAAAAUCAAGUGGAUCUGGCUUCCACUGAUUGAAAGUGCAGCAGUCAAUGCCUUCCGCCCGCAUCGGGUUCGCCUCCGCUACUUUCUUGGCAGCUUGUUCUGCCAUGGUUUUUGAGCUUUUUAAACACAUAUUGACCAUUACAUGUAAAUAAGGAACAGAAGUAUCAUGCAAGCCCUGAUGAAGCACACCUAAGUGCGAAACUAGUU